Molecule: transfer RNA, 63 nt
Filed under: Yemmalysus parallelus
Lineage: Eukaryota; Metazoa; Arthropoda; Insecta; Hemiptera; Berytidae
Also listed under: 1 other name
Description: tRNA-Trp
Source: RNAcentral
AAAGUUUUAAGUUAAAUAAACUAUUAACCUUCAAAGUUAAAAAUACAUUAGAUGUAAGCUUUA